AGUCUAAGAGUUUUGAUUUAAACGUAAGUUUGCAAAACUUAAAUUAUUGUUUACUAUAACAAUUUAGACUU
Molecule: transfer RNA, 71 nt
Filed under: Pediculus humanus capitis (human head louse)
Lineage: Eukaryota; Metazoa; Arthropoda; Insecta; Psocodea; Pediculidae
Description: tRNA-Cys
Source: RNAcentral